UACAGAGGGGGCAAGCGUUGUUCGGAAUUACUGGGCGUAAAGGGCGCGUAGGCGGCCUGUUAAGUCGAACGUGAAAUCCCCGGGCUCAACCCGGGAACUGCGUCCGAAACUGGCAGGCUCGAAUUCGGGAGAGGGAUGCGGAAUUCCAGGUGUAGCGGUGAAAUGCGCAGAUAUCAGGAGGAACACCGGUGGCGAAGGCGGUUCUCUGGGCAUUACCUGACGCUGAGGAGCGAAAGUGUGGGGAGCGAACAGG
This 253-nucleotide ribosomal RNA is filed under the name uncultured bacterium. RNAcentral's name for it is "partial 16S ribosomal RNA". It matches the Rfam family "Bacterial small subunit ribosomal RNA", at positions 524 to 776 of the family's 1533-position model. The record is from RNAcentral.